This 253-nucleotide ribosomal RNA is filed under the name uncultured Eubacteriales bacterium. RNAcentral's name for it is "uncultured Clostridiales bacterium partial 16S ribosomal RNA". It matches the Rfam family "Bacterial small subunit ribosomal RNA", at positions 524 to 776 of the family's 1533-position model. Lineage: Bacteria; Bacillati; Bacillota; Clostridia; Eubacteriales. The record is from RNAcentral.
UACGUAGGGGGCAAGCGUUAUCCGGAUUUACUGGGUGUAAAGGGAGCGUAGACGGCGGUGCAAGCCAGAUGUGAAAGCCCGUGGCCCAACCACGGGACUGCUCUGGAAACUGUGUUGCUGGAGUGCAGGAGGGGUAAGCGGAAUUCCUAGUGUAGCGGUGAAAUGCGUAGAUAUUAGGAGGAACACCGGUGGCGAAGGCGGCUUACUGGACUGUAACUGACGUUGAGGCUCGAAAGCGUGGGUAUCGAACAGG